AUUGAACGCUGGCGGCAGGCCUAACACAUGCAAGUCGAGCGGAUGAAGGGAGCUUGCUCCUGGAUUCAGCGGCGGACGGGUGAGUAAUGCCUAGGAAUCUGCCUGGUAGUGGGGGAUAACGUCCGGAAACGGGCGCUAAUACCGCAUACGUCCUGAGGGAGAAAGUGGGGGAUCUUCGGACCUCACGCUAUCAGAUGAGCCUAGGUCGGAUUAGCUAGUUGGUGGGGUAAAGGCCUACCAAGGCGACGAUCCGUAACUGGUCUGAGUGGAUGAUCAGUCACACUAGAACUGAGACAAGGUCCAGACUCCUACGGAAGACAGCAGUUGGGAAUUUUAGACAAUGGGCGGAAACCUGAUCCAGCCAUACCGCGUGUGUGAAGAAGGUCUUCGGAUUGUAAAGCACUUUAAGUUGGGAGGAAGGGCAGUAAGUUAAUACCUUGCUGUUUUGACGGUACCAACAGAAUAAGCACCGGCUAACUUCGUG
RNAcentral lists this ribosomal RNA (484 nucleotides) under uncultured bacterium. RNAcentral describes it as "partial 16S ribosomal RNA". It matches the Rfam family "Bacterial small subunit ribosomal RNA", at positions 30 to 507 of the family's 1533-position model. The record is from RNAcentral.